ACUUAUAUCAAGAGAUGACCUUGUUCUACCAUGACGACCUCUUUAUGAGGUGAUGGACGUUACAUUUCAUUCAAAAUAUGAAGUGGCUGGACUGAAGAAACAUCCCAUAAAACUUGAAGAGACAGUGAGCAUGUGGUCCAUGUAUCAAGAGGGUAUUUUUUGGAAGACUCCACCCAGGAGAUGCUCGAUGAGUGGCGGCCGUUAAUGUGUCCUUAUCACAUUACAUUUAGUAAAGCAAUGUUUUACUUUUCCCUGUUUUUGCCAACAACACUCUUGCUCGAAAAGCAGGACAAAGGGGGUUAUGGUUUGAGGAGCUGUUAGGAUUUGGCAGUCAUGUACCAACAGCUUAAGAUGGGAAGAGUUUUGUUUUACUUCACACAUGACGGACUAGGCAAAAGAGGUCCUAGCUACAUGUACAUUGUACAGUAGUACGUGUUUAGUGUAUGGACUCCCUUGUAGCUACAAGACUGCUUAAAGUUGUUUGGCAGGCUUGCAAAAGAUAACAUUGGAUUUGUUGAUUGGAGUCCAUACCUUGC
Long non-coding RNA from Orbicella faveolata, 536 nucleotides. The record is from RefSeq and is a predicted model, not a curated record. Lineage: Eukaryota; Metazoa; Cnidaria; Anthozoa; Scleractinia; Merulinidae.